This is a long non-coding RNA of Pangasianodon hypophthalmus (striped catfish), 2488 nucleotides long. RefSeq lists it as uncharacterized. The transcript has 4 exons. The record is from RefSeq and is a predicted model, not a curated record. Lineage: Eukaryota; Metazoa; Chordata; Actinopteri; Siluriformes; Pangasiidae.
AGGACAGGGAGGAGAGGUACUCACCUGUCAGUCAGAAAGCCCCGCCCUCUUGCAGUCAGGUGUUUUAGCCUAAUCAUGUGAUUUUUAUCUUCUAAGCUAAAUUGAUUGGACCUGUCGCAGUGCAUUAUGGGAGUACAGGAGUGUGCACAAUAUUUAUUAGGAAGCUUUCAUGGUUAUAAAACGAAAAAAAAAAGAUCAUUAGUGUACUAUGUAGUAAAUGUGGUGUAGUUGUAGUUGUUUAUAUUAAAAAUCUAUGUGGUCACGUGGGUAUGGGAGGAGCUCCAAAGAAGUUUCCAAAAGUUGUUCAUGAAAAUCCUUUACCAGAAUCCAGACAGAUUCAUCUGAAGCACCUUCUGAAGAGCUUUAUAAUGAGCUGAUGAGGUGGUUCAGGUGUGUUAAAGCAGGAAACACACACACACACACACAUAGACAGAGUGAAGAUGAAGAGGAACCGGUGAAGGAACUGGAGAAGAACCUGCUGUCUCCUGUAAACACUGGAGAAUUGAGAGAUCAGCCUGGAAGAUCUCAGGUUUGACUCUGAAUCACAGCUCCUUCCUCCGCCAAGCUUUUCCUGGAAGUCACACAGGCGUCUGAGCUCGUCAGGUGGAACACAAGCGUGUAAAGUUCAAGCCCGGGUCUUCCUCAGACACACGGCUCCUCGCUGAUCCUCAUCAGCUCCGGAAAGAGGAGAACAAGUCGAACGUCAGAGAUGGAGAGGUGGAAAAGAAUUGGCUCAAUAUCAGCUCUCUUGAGUUAACGAGGUGUUUGGUGUCCAUCACAGGAGAACAUCUCCAGAUCUUCAGAGCAGGUUUCCGUGGAAGCUGAGGUAAAAUCGUGAAAUCUCCUAAACGUCAAAUAAAAGAGUAUUUCAGUUAAUCCCUUUUUAUUAGCUAUGAGAUGCUUUGGUUAUGAGAAGCAGAAUUAACCAAUCAGAUUCAUGCAUUUUAUUUUCUCAUUUCUGUUUAUUUCUUUCACUGAUAUCGAGGUGAUGGAUGAUGAAAUGCAGGAGGAGAAAAAGAUCGAGCUUUAUCAGAUAAAAUGACGUUUCUCCUUUAUUAUUAUUAUUAUUAUUAGUAGUAGUAGUAGUAGUAUCUUAUUGCAGUCAUUUUCAGUAGAACGUUUGUGUUAUUAAUAUGGCAUCAUGAUGGAUUGUCUUAAAUGAUUUAAAAUAAAAAAAAUUGUUUCAUUUCCACUCCUGCUGCUGUCUGACAUCACGUCACACUUCUCAGUUUAAUUAUACAGCUCACGAGGUGAAUGUAUUUAGUGUCCUUCUGUUUCCUCACUCCUCCAUGUGUGCUUUGUGAUUCAUUUACUGCCUUUAUUCAUCAUUCAUCCUUAGUAACGGCCCGGUCAGGGUCACGCCGGUUUAAAUUAGGCUACUAGUUUGUGUAAAUCACACAAAAACAAUCCCACGCACAUCUGUAAUAAAGCGCGGUUAUGAACUGGAGUGAUGUAGCUGAGGCUGAGGAACUGUUAGAGCCAGGAUUCACACACACUGCUGACGUUUCUGUCUGGUUCUGAGGAUUUUCUGUUAUUUCCAGGGGCGGAGCUUUAGGGUUCAUUUUUACUUCCAAAAAACAGUGUCUGAUCUAGGCCACGCCCACUUCAGUCCUCGUUUAAACCCCUACAGAACAGUGCUUAGGAUAAUAACUAAUAUGGAUGGCCACAGCAAGGACAUCUGAAAGAACAUCUGAGCGAUUUGUUUCAAUAUGAUUAGAAAUGAUUAGAAAUAAAAAUGAUUCUACUGGUUUAGAAAAAUUGGGCUGAAAUCAACGGAAUUACGUUACAAAUCUAAACGUACAAACCUGUUCAGACGUCUUUACACAAGACAAACACUACAGAACUAAAAUCAAAGUUUUAAAAUCAAGCAGGAAGUGAUGCGACGGGAGAUAUGUUCGCUGUUGACCGUGUUCACGCCGCCGGGUUUGUGAGACGUCGGGUAGAAAUUCAGCGUUGAGCGAGUUUUCCAUGUUGGACGUUGGGAUUUUCCGAGUUCUCAGUGUAACGGAUUGCAGCAUUAAUCCGAAUACAGAGCCGGAUAUUUGGAGCAUUAAACAGACACAGAGAGCCAUCGUCCUGCGUAUAGAUAUAUAUACGACAAAACCUUCAGGAAAGUGUAAAGUAACUGGAACUACUUUUUAAUUGUAAAGAUGGAAGAAUAGACGGAAAUCCAUAAGGGCAAAUCUGGGAAGAUUUUCUCUUGCGUCUGAACAUCUGUAGAACAUCUGCAGCUUUACGUUUCUGUUUUCUAGUCGUGUAAUUUAAACUUUUAUUCAACUUUUAUUCAACUUCUAUUCUGAGUGAGUUUGGAGUAAACAGAAUUCCUCUUCUCUCCAAAUUCUCAAAUGAUGAACUAUAUGAGUGCUACUAACAUACGGGUUGCCAGAUCUGCAGUUUUCCUGUGAAAUUGGUUUACUUUUGACUUUCUGCCGCAGUGUAAAUAUUGUUUUUUUUGUCUGUGGGAUGUUUGUGGGAUGUUUUGUGUAAA